Molecule: ribosomal RNA, 292 nt
Filed under: uncultured bacterium
Lineage: Bacteria
Description: partial 16S ribosomal RNA
Rfam family: Bacterial small subunit ribosomal RNA
Source: RNAcentral
GUGUCAGCAGCCGCGGUAAUACGGGGGGGGCAAGCGUUGUUCGGAAUUACUGGGCGUAAAGGGCUCGUAGGCGGCCAUCUAAGUCGGACGUGAAAUCCCUCGGCUUAACCGGGGAACUGCGUCCGAUACUGGAGGGCUUGAGUGUGGGAGAGGGAUGCGGAAUUCCAGGUGUAGCGGUGAAAUGCGUAGAUAUCUGGAGGAACACCGGUGGCGAAGGCGGCAUCCUGGACCAUGACUGACGCUGAGGAGCGAAAGCCAGGGGAGCAAACGGGAUUAGAUACCCCCGUAGUCC